UGCAGUAAGCGUAGGGCAGCAUGGUAGGUUGAUGGUUUGCCAACAUUGGUCACUGUUCUGGUGAAAACGGCAUUGAUUUCCUGUCCAUCACCAAGGUACAAUGCCAUGGUAGGAUAGUUGAGAUCCCAGCCUCUUCCGGGAGUUAUACCUUUACAAGUGCUAUUUUCUCCAGUGAUCUGUCUGAGAUUGUCGAUGUUGUGUUUGCAUAGGAACUUCACAUAAUCUUCCUCGUCAGCAGCAAAAAUUAGUCCCUGCUUGAUUGCACGUGUAGGGUUGAUGUGACCAGCACCAUAUGAAAAUUCAAGAUCGGGAUGCUUCCUUG
Molecule: long non-coding RNA, 322 nt
Filed under: Coffea arabica (coffee)
Lineage: Eukaryota; Viridiplantae; Streptophyta; Magnoliopsida; Gentianales; Rubiaceae
Description: long non-coding RNA (CARA_LNC005797)
Source: RNAcentral